Molecule: long non-coding RNA, 122 nt
Organism: Etheostoma spectabile (orangethroat darter)
Lineage: Eukaryota; Metazoa; Chordata; Actinopteri; Perciformes; Percidae
Exons: 4
Source: RefSeq, a predicted model, not a curated record
GGACCUGCAUUUUUCUGGGUGCUUGUUCCAGAUAUGUGGAGCAUAAAAACAGAACGCUGCUUCUCCAUGUUUAGUUCUGACCCUGGUGACAGAAACCGGACCUUUCCCAGAAGACGUGGAGG